Molecule: long non-coding RNA, 4061 nt
Organism: Marmota monax (woodchuck)
Lineage: Eukaryota; Metazoa; Chordata; Mammalia; Rodentia; Sciuridae
Exons: 2
Source: RefSeq, a predicted model, not a curated record
UUCAGGGCUACCAUCCUAAGAUAUCAUUCCUUAUGUGGUCCUGUUCUUCAGCCUGGAAUUGUUGAGCUUAGAUAUUAUACUAGGGUAAAAGGCAUAGUUUUCACCUAAUAUCUUGACAGAGUAGAAUGUCAAAACUUGAAGGGAGUGCUGGAAUGUAAUUCAGUGAUAGAACACUUGCCUAGCAUAUGCAAAGCCCUGGGUUCAAUCCCCAGUACUGCAAAGAAAUACAUAAAUAAUUUAAGUUGGGUGUGGUGGCACAUGCCUAUAAUCACAGCAACUCAGGAGGCUGAGACAGGAGGAUUACAAUUUGAAAGCCACCCUUAGCAACUUAAAGACACUCUGUCUCAAAAAAUGAAAAAAGGGAUAGGGAUAUUGUUCAGUUCUUAAGUGCCUCUGAGUUCAAUUCCCAGCAUGCCCCUCUCCCCCCAAACAAAACAAACAAACAAAAAAAUUGAAGGAGGGCUGGGGAUAUAGCUCAUUUGAUAGAGUGCUUGCCUUGCAUGCACAAGGCCCUGGGUUCAAUCCCCAGCACCACAAAAAACAAAAAAAACCAAAAACUUGAAGGGACUUCAGGACCUCUUAUAUCUUCUGGACCCCCCCCCCCCAACUGCUUUUUUUUUUUUUUUUUGUGGGGGGGGAGAAAAACUAAGGACAGAAGAAAUACUAUGAUUCAGUGUUAUGCUGUUGGUGGCAGAUUCAGAAGUAGAAUUCAGAUUUCUUGUCUCAACCCAUUUUGAACAGGGUCUUACUGAGUUAUCCAGACUAUCCUUGAAAGUGUGAUCCUUCUACCUGAGCCUUUGUGUAGAUUCUCUUAAAUGCUUAUCUGCUUUUAUCAAGGACACUUACGACUUCCCUCAUGUUAAAUCUAAUGGCCAAUUUAUUACCCACAUCUUCCUUUAAAACAUGACAGUUCAUCACUCCCUCUUAAAACAUUUGUGUCAUUUGGUCAGUAGAAGACCAGUGUUCCUUUCUGGUCUCUUUUACUUGGUUUGCCCUAUCUUUAAGAUUUUUAAAUGGAUUGAUUCUUUUCUUCUCUAUGUUCACUCAGAAUAGGAAUCUUUUCUAGUUCCUAUGCCUCAAAUUCCUGAAUAUUUUUUCUAAUGAUUGUGAAAUGUAGCACUUCACCCUCUUAUGGACCUUAGACCCACUACAUUGUAUUUCUACUUAAAAUAUAUUAAAUUAAUUAUCUCCAACUUAAUGUGUGAAAUUGAAUUCUGUAUUUCUCCCCAACUUGCUCUUCCUCUAGUUUUUUCCAUCCCACUUAAAGACACAUUUAACUUUCUUUUAUAACAAAAAUUACUUUGGUUCCUCUUACAUAUUUCCUUUUAGUUUUACCUUCAAAAUAAAAUUGGAAUGAUUAAGCCACUUUCUUUUUCUAUUCUUUUUUAAAAAAAUAUUUUUAGUUGUAGAUGGACAUAGUACUUUUAUUUAUUUUAUAUAAUGCUAAGGAUCGAACCUAGUAGCUCACAUGUGUUAGGCAAGUGCUCUACCACUGAGUUAUAACCCCAGUCCUCUUUUUUUUUUUUUUUUGGUUCUCGGGAUUGAAUUCAGGGGCACUCGACCACUAAGCCACAUCCCAAACCAUUUUUUGUAUUUAGAGACAGGGUCUCACUGAGUUGCUUAGCAUCUUGUUUUUACUGAGGCUGGCUUUGAACUUGUGAUCCUCCUGCCUUAGCCUCCUGAACCUCUGGGAUUACAGAUGUGUGCCACUCACCCAACCCCUCUCCUCUAUUUUUAAUCUUUUAUUUUUUAGUUUUAGGUAGAUACAAUAUCUUUAUUUUUAUGUGGUGCUGAGAAUCGAACCCAGUGCCUCAAGCAUGCUAGGUGAGCGCGAAACCACUUGAGCCACAUCCCCAGCCCCUAUUUUUAUUCUUAAGUGCAAAAUAUUGUGUUAAUCAUACUCAGCUCAUGACAGGUUUUUUUUUUUAAAUAUAUGUUUUAGUUGUUGAUGGACACAAUACCUUUACUUAAUUAAUUUAUUUUUAUGUGGGGCUGAGGAUCAAACCCAGUGCCUCACACAUGUGAGGCAAGCACUCUACCACUGAGCCACAACCCCAGCCCAUAACAGAUUUUUAAGUGCACUGUAUAAAGCGCUCUUGUUUUGCUUGUUUUAUAUUUACAACCCAUUUUCUCUCCCCCACAGAAAACCAUUCUGAUGUGUUUAAUGUCAUUUUGUCUAGAUAUAUUAUUGUAUUUCAAUUGCUCCCCCGCACCCCACCAUACUAAUUUAUAAUUUGUUGCUUCUGUCUUUCUAAUACUCUGUGGUAUGUAUCUAUCACAUUUUACUUGUCCGUUUUUGUCAUUAUGGGCAUCUAGUCUGUGACCACUACCACAGCUAAUGCUGUAUAUCAGCUUCAUAUUUGUUUCCUUGAGGAAGAACUUUGUGAGAAUUUCUUUGGAAUAGAGACCCAUAAGCAGAUUUGCUGGGAUACAUCAAAUUUCACAGAGUUUGAGGCCAUCCUUUAUAAAUUUAGCUACUACAAUAGGUGUGAAGUGGUAAGUAACAUUAUUUUUGCUUGUAUGUUUCUCAUCACUAAUGAAUUUUUUUUGAAGGUACUGGGGAUCGAACUCCAGGGCACUUGACCACUGAACCACAUCCCCAGCCCUAUUUUUUGUAUUUUAUUUAGAGACAGGGUCUCACUAAAUUGCCUAGGCUGGCUUUGAACUCACGAUCUUCCUAUCUCAGCCUCCCAAGCCGCUGGGAUUACAGGUGUGCGCCACCACGCCCGGCAUCACUAAUGAAUAUAUUGCAUCGAUUAUAUAUUUAUUAGAUUGGAGUUUUCUGGAAAUUUUCAUAUCCUUUGUCCAUUUUCUUGUUAGGAUUGUUGUCUCUUGUUUUUGAAGAAUUAAUUUCUUUUAAAUUCUAUAUCUAUGUUAUGUAAUGUGGUAGCUUUAGCCACUGACUAAAAUACAAAUUAAUUAAAAUUAAAUAAAGCCAGGCCUGGUGGCACAUGCCUAUAAUCCCAAGCCUUGGGAGGUUAUUGUAGGGGGAUCAUGAAUUCAAAGCCAGCCUCAGCAAUUUAGUGAGGCCCUACGCAACUCAGUGAGACCCUGUCUCUAAAUAAAAUGUAAAAAAGGGCUUGGGAUGUGGUUCAGUAGUUAAACGCCCCUGGGUUCAACCCCUAAUACAGAAAAAAAUAUGUUUGCUAGGUAUGGUAAUAUACACCUUUAAUUGCAACUAGAAGGGGUCUGAGGCAGGAGGUUCAUGAAGUUGGAGGCCAGCCUCUCAAACUUAGUGAGACCCCGUCAGAAAGUAGAAAAUAAAAAGGGCUGGGGAUGUAGCUCAGUACUCAGCACUCCUAGGUUCAGCCCCCAGUACUGUAAGAAAAAAUUGAAUUUCCUGUCCUCAAAUAAGCUACGUUUUACGUUCUCAGUAGCCAUAUGUAAAUGGUUACUACUGUAUUGGAUAGCAUAGAUAUAGAAUGCUUUUAUCAUCAGAAAUUUUUUGGUUAAUGUUAAGCUCUAGUUAUUCCUUGUCAGCUUUGUAUAUAGCAAAUAUCUUGUAUGUUAGUUAUUUUGUUCAAAAUGAGCUUUGUUCAGUAGAAAUCCUUAAUUUUAUUUUUUUAGUUUUGUUUUGUGUGGUACUUGGAUUGAACCUAGCACCUUGCUCAUGCCAGGCAAGUGCUAUUCCACUGUUUAUACUCCCAGCCUCAGCGCGCCCUCCCCCCGCCCCUUUUUGUUUUGUUAUCGGUAUCAUAUAUUGAAUCCAGGGGCGCUUCACCACUGAUCUUCAUCCUUUUUUUUUUUUUAAUUAUUAAGUGGUGUUGAGGAUCAAACCCAGUGCCUCAUGCAUUCUAGGUGAACAUUCUACCACUGAGCCACAACCCCAGCUCUCCCCACCGCUUUUUACUUUUUGAGACAGGACCUUGCUAAGUUGCCAAGGCUGUCUUGAACUUGGGAUCUUCCUGCCUCAGCCUCCUGGCUUAAAAUUCUAAUUUACGCCUGUUUUCUAAGGUAGUGCCCUUUUCUCAUUCUCAGAAUUUUUUGGAUGAUAAUUUAGGCACUCUUAAUUAUUAUUAUUUUAAUUUUGAAUUUGAAUUGUUUUAUGGUAUUUUUUUUAA